This 433-nucleotide unclassified non-coding RNA is filed under the name soil metagenome. RNAcentral's name for it is "partial contains 5.8S ribosomal RNA, internal transcribed spacer 2, and large subunit ribosomal RNA". The stretch from base 1 to 120 matches the Rfam family "5.8S ribosomal RNA", at positions 35 to 154 of the family's 154-position model. The record is from RNAcentral.
GAUGAAGAACGCAGCGAAAUGCGAUACGUAAUGUGAAUUGCAGAAUUCAGUGAAUCAUCGAAUCUUUGAACGCAUAUUGCGCUCUCUGGUAUUCCGGAGAGCAUGCUUGUUUGAGUAUCAGUAAACACCUCAACUUCCAUAUCUUUUUUGAAAUGGGAGUUGGACUUGAGUGAUCCCAACGCUUUUCCUCACCGAAAAGUGGCGGGUUACUUGAAAUGCAGGUGCAGCUGGACUUUUCUCUGAGCUAUAAGCAUAUCUAUUUAGUCUGCCUAAAAAACAGAUUAUUACCUUUGCUGCACCUAACAUAAAGGAGAUUAGUUCUUGUGCUGACUGAUGAAGGAUUCACAAAGACAGGCUUCGGCCGACUUUGUAAACUCGAUCUCAAAUCAAGUAAGACUACCCGCUGAACUUAAGCAUAUCAAUAAGCGGAGGA